RNAcentral lists this long non-coding RNA (1360 nucleotides) under Salmo salar (Atlantic salmon). Its description in RNAcentral is "lncRNA (ENSSSAG00000087777.1)". Lineage: Eukaryota; Metazoa; Chordata; Actinopteri; Salmoniformes; Salmonidae. The record is from RNAcentral.
GCCUGGUAUUGUGCUAUUUGAAAUGGACAAGUAAUCCAUCCUUUUAAAUCAUGUUUCUCAGCAUCAUAUUUCUGCCAUGAUGGAAUCCGGUAAUGGCCCGGUGGGGUCAAGAAGAAGACAUAACGUAAUGGGAUCUCUGCUGUAACGUGACACUUCCUACGGCUCCCAUAGGCUCUCAGAAGGCGGGAAAAAGCUGAAUGAUGUCUUUGCAGGCCCUGGCUGAAAAACAUUAGCGCUUUGAACCACCCACCACCAAAGGACCAAGCAGCAGAAGAGGAGGAAGCCACAGGAGAAAAAAAGGGAGGAAUGGACAUGGGAGGACGUCCUGGACGGCAAGGGAGCCUACACCUGGGAAGAGAUCCUGGCCGGAAGGGAUCGCCUCCCAUGGGAACAGGUGGAGGCACUCAGGAGAGUGGAGGCAGCUGGACAGAGGAACCAACGGGAACGUUAUGCUGGAACACGGUUGGGUAGGAAACCCGAGAGGCACCCCCAAUAAUUUUUUUGGGGGGGGCACACGGGUAGCUUGGCCAGGCCAGGGAAGAGCCGUAAGCCAGCUACCCGUGACUACAGGGAGGUGCGUAUGCUGGUGGAGGGCGCCAUGUUACGCUGAGGUACGCACCAUCUCGCCUAUACGGACGCACAGCCCAGUCCGCCCGGUACCAGCGCCCCGCAGGUGCCAGGGCAAGGUGAGCAUCGAGCCGGAAGGGGUGAAGCCAACCCUGCACUCAAGACCGCCAGUGCGCCCUUUCGGUCCGGUGUUUCCCGCUAAACGCACUAGCAUGGAGGUGCGUGUCUCCAGGCUUGCACGUCCAGUACCAGCCCCACGCAUCAGGAGUCUAGUGCGUCAGCCCAGCCUCGCCAGUCGUAAGUCGCCAGAGCUGCCCGCCAGUCAACAGUCACCAGAGCUGCCCGCCAGUCAACAGUCACCAGAUGUGCCCGCCAGUCAACAGUCACCAGAGCUGCCCGCCAGUCAACAGUCACCAGAGCUGCCCGCCAGUCGUAAGUCACCAGAGCUGCCCGCCAGUCAAGAGUCGCCAGAGCUGCCCGCCAGUCGUAAGUCACCAGAGCCGCCCGCUAGUCACGAGCCGCCAGAGCCGCCCGCUAGUCAGGAGCUGCCAGAGUGGCCCGACUGCCCGGAGCUGCCAGAGUGGCCCGACUGCCCGGAGCUGCCAGAGUGGCCCGACUGCCCGGAGCUGCCAGAGUGGCCCGACUGCCCGGAGCUGCCAGAGUGGCCCGACUGCCCGGAGCUGCCAGAGUGGCCCGACUGCCCGGAGCUGCCAGAGUGGCCCGACUGCCCGGAGCUGCCCAACUGCCCGGAGCUGCCCGACUGCCAGGAGCUGCCAGACUGCCCGGAGCUGCC